CCUACGGGAGGCAGCAGUGAGGAAUAUUGGUCAAUGGACGAGAGUCUGAACCAGCCAAGUAGCGUGAAGGAUGACUGCCCUAUGGGUUGUAAACUUCUUUUAUAUGGGAAUAAAAUGUUCCACGUGUGGGAUUUUGUAUGUACCAUAUGAAUAAGGAUCGGCUAACUCCGGGCCAGCAGCCUCGGUAAUACGGAGGAUCCGAGCGUUAUCCGGGUUUUUUGGGUUUAAAGGGAGCGUGGGUGGAUUGUUAAGUCAGUUGUGAAAGUUUGCGGCUCAACCGUAAAAUUGCAGUUGAAACUGGCAGUCUUGAGUACAGUAGAGGUGGGCGGAAUUCGUGGUGUAGCGGUGAAAUGCUUAGAUAUCACGAAGAACCCCGAUUGCGAAGGCAGCUCACUGGACUGCAACUGACACUGAGGCUCGAAAGUGUGGGUAUCAAACAGGAUUAGAUACCCUAGUAGUC
Molecule: ribosomal RNA, 460 nt
Filed under: uncultured bacterium
Lineage: Bacteria
Description: partial 16S ribosomal RNA
Rfam family: Bacterial small subunit ribosomal RNA
Source: RNAcentral